Molecule: long non-coding RNA, 678 nt
Organism: Daphnia magna
Lineage: Eukaryota; Metazoa; Arthropoda; Branchiopoda; Diplostraca; Daphniidae
Exons: 2
Source: RefSeq, a predicted model, not a curated record
GGAAGGGAGAGAAAGAAAAUCCAAAAUGGCCGACCUUUUGCUAGUCCCAACCCUUAAAACGUCAGGAAUUCAAAGGGGAAGAUUGAAAAAAGUUCAUUUAGUUCUGGUGCUUCACUUUGAGUAGUUUGUUCACGUUUUGAUCCUAGCCUGGCCGAUUCUCUUCCCACUGGUGUUGUUUCACUAGUUAACAUCGUUUAGAGUGUUCAUCAUUCAAAGUGAAAGAUUUUGCGCACCACAUUGGUAGACGUUUUGCUUUCAUGGACAACAGUUUCUUGGGUCUCUUCCGGUCCAUAUCAUCACUCCAUAAGAGGAAAAUAUUUGCCGAAUUUCUUGUGCUAAACGAAAAUGAAUCGAAGCGCUGAAAAAGCAUUUACCACACAACCAGAAGAGACAUUUAGACAUCUAUUUGGUGACAAUUGGUGUCAAACGCUUAGCGAGGUCACGACAACGGAUCUCGAAUGGAACAUUCCGUUUCCGUUUUUAGAAUAUCCUCCGCCUUUUAUGAAAUCAUCCCGUUUUUCAUAGCUGUAACUGUAAGAAAUUAAUCUGGAAUCGAUUUGUUUCAUGAACUCAGUUCUGAAAUCGGUUGUAUCUCUUUUGUAUUAUGCUAAAGUUAAAUUUCCUGUGUUGUGUUAAGGGAACAAAGAAAAUCGAUAAAUACAAAGAAAAAUGAGUCAA